CAUGUAGGCGGAUUGAUAAGUUUGAAGUGAAAUCCUAUAGCUUAACUAUAGAACUGCUUUGAAAACUGUUAAUCUAGAAUGUGGAAGAGGUAGAUGGAAUUUCUGGUGUAGGGUAAAAUCCGUAGAGAUCAGAAGGAAUACCGAUUGCGAAGGCGAUCUACUGGAACAUUAUUGACGCUGAGAUGCGAAAGCGUGGGAGCAAACA
Molecule: ribosomal RNA, 205 nt
Filed under: uncultured bacterium
Lineage: Bacteria
Description: partial 16S ribosomal RNA
Rfam family: Bacterial small subunit ribosomal RNA
Source: RNAcentral